This 539-nucleotide long non-coding RNA is filed under the name Coturnix japonica (Japanese quail). RNAcentral's name for it is "lncRNA (ENSCJPG00005003169.1)". Lineage: Eukaryota; Metazoa; Chordata; Aves; Galliformes; Phasianidae. The record is from RNAcentral.
UAUGUAUCUAUCAUAAUGAUUUAAUUUAUAGUGAUACAUUUGUAUGGUUAGUUUAUUGUCCAUAGAGGGAAGUAAAUCAUGGUAUUUAUUUAAGGCAUCUGAUUAAAGUGUGAUUCAGAACAGCAGAAGUUAGGAACCUCAGUGUCCUGUAGUAAGAGAGAGUCACAGGUAACCCCAGAGGGCAAUUGAGAGCCUGUACAUCUGGACACAUAAACACUCUUUGUGAGCAAUAGUGAUGAAAUAAGAGUUUCACUUCUGACAUAGGAUGAGUACACGUAAAUAAGCAUUCUCAGGAGUUGUCGGAGGCUGGGAUCCAAUUCAUCCUAGUCUUGUGUGUCCAUGCACACCUAAGCCUGGCCCUUCUUUGUAUGCAGCUCCUGUUAGGUUUAGACAGAGUCAGCCUGAUGGUGUCUAGCGCUAUUAUUCUUCUUGCCACUUAUGUAUGCCUCCUCACAGACUAUGAUAUCACAACUCAUUAAUCAGACAGCAGGCUGGCUUGAGUGAGAUCAGAGCAUGGGCCAAUGCCAGUGCUCCUUUUG